RNA transcript from Brachypodium distachyon (stiff brome), 1080 nucleotides. RefSeq lists it as uncharacterized. NCBI's taxonomy places the organism in Eukaryota, Viridiplantae, Streptophyta, Magnoliopsida, Poales, Poaceae. The record is from RefSeq and is a predicted model, not a curated record. The transcript is spliced from 7 exons.
CCCCCCCCUCCCCCUCCCGGAGAAGCAGGAUCUAGCCGCCGCCGCCCGUCACCGUGGCACAUGCUGCUUCCAACGUCGCCAGGUUACGGCCGAAGAGGUUCCCUUUUGCUCAAGCCCCCUCCUGGGAUUCAUCGAUGCUAAUUUGUAGCAAGAGGCUGCCAUCCGACCGCCACCGACGACGGACUUGAAAGGCCGCACAACCAGUCAUCAGAUGAGAGCUUUUCCACAGCAGCAACAAGCUGUCCAUCCGCCUACAUGAGCUCAUUCUUCCUGUGAAGUUGGCUGGUGAGAUUUUUCAUCUCUGCCUUCUCACUAAAUCUCACUACUAUUGUCUUGAAUGCAGGUUUCUUAAAAUUAAGUCUACUCCAAUUGGCAUGAGCAACUGUGCACCUAGCUUCACAUGGAUUUCUCAGCUCUUUUUUCCUAGAGAAUGAUUGUGACUUGGUGUAUAUUUUAGAUGGAGCAUUCACUCAAGUUCAGAAAUUCAGGAUCUGGAUUUGAACUAUACAUCCAAUUCAUCUUUUGUUCUUUUCUUGGAUGCUGGCGUGCAAAUCUCAUGACAUCCCUCAGGUCCAAUCACCUUUUGCAAACAAAUUGGUUCAGCUCAAAAUCAGCAUAGAAGAUGCAAACCCAUCUGACUGCUGUCACUUCUGUAGUUGAUUGCUUAAAAAGACUAUACGUGGAGAAACUGAAGCCUUUAGAGGUUGCAUACCCGUUUACCAAUUUUGCUUCCCCAUCACUGACAAACAGCAACUUCGGUGCAAAACCAAUGGUUAUGCUCUUUGGUCAAUAUUAUACAGGGAAACAACUUUGAUUAAGCACCUGUUAAAAACGAGCUACCCAGGUUUUCGGCUUUAUCUAAUACAGAAUACCUGAGUUUCAAUGUUAGGCACACCAUCCAUUUCAAUGGUAAGAUAUGCAAGGAUGGCUUAUUGUACUCACUAAUGGGGUAGCAUGCUGCCUUCAUAUACGGACCAAUAACACUAGAGUGCUAUGUCCAGCUUUAUCAGAUUUAUAACAUGAAUUAUUUUGUGAAGCUAUCCUAUUAUGUGAGAUUUUGAUAAUUGUUGUUACAUUUUA